RNAcentral lists this ribosomal RNA (577 nucleotides) under Protoparmeliopsis garovaglii. RNAcentral's name for it is "partial 28S ribosomal RNA". It matches the Rfam family "Eukaryotic large subunit ribosomal RNA", at positions 511 to 1430 of the family's 3401-position model. Lineage: Eukaryota; Fungi; Ascomycota; Lecanoromycetes; Lecanorales; Lecanoraceae. The record is from RNAcentral.
GCGGCCGGAUAAAGGCCUUGGGAAUGUAGCUCCUCUCGGGGAGUGUUAUAGCCCUCGGUGCAAUGUGGCCAGCCCGGACCGAGGACCGCGCUUCGGCUAGGAUGCUGGCGUAAUGGUUGUAAGCGACCCGUCUUGAAACACGGACCAAGGAGUCGAAUAUCUUUGCGAGUGUUUGGGUGUCAAGCCCAUACGCGGAAUGAAAGUGAACGGAGGUGAGAACCCUUAAGGGCGCAUCAUCGACCGAUCCAGAUGUCUUCGGAUGGAUUUGAGUACAAGCAAAAAUGUUCCGACCCGAAAGAUGGUGAUCUAUACUUGAAUAGGGUGAAGCCAGAGGAAACUCUGGUGGAGGCUCGCAGCGGUUCUGACGUGCAAAUCGAUCGUCAAAUUUGAGUAUAGGGGCGAAAGACUAAUCGAACCAUCUGAACCCCAUCUACUGGAUGGUUCAAUCGAGGCCCCGUCGGGGGCCCGAUCCAGUCCCUCUCGGGGGCCACACUGCCAGUCUUCGGGUACGCCUUUGGCUACCUGCAGCGAGCCCGUCAGGGCCCGUUCACUGACUAAACGGCGGUGGCCGCGUCUG